This 462-nucleotide ribosomal RNA is filed under the name uncultured bacterium. RNAcentral's name for it is "partial 16S ribosomal RNA". It matches the Rfam family "Bacterial small subunit ribosomal RNA", at positions 338 to 795 of the family's 1533-position model. The record is from RNAcentral.
CCUACGGGAGGCUGCAGUGAGGAAUAUUGGUCAAUGGACGCAAGUCUGAACCAGCCAAGUCGCGUGCAGGAUGACGGCCCUCCGGGUUGUAAACUGCUUUUAGUUGGGAAUAAAAGGGGGCUCGUGAGCCCCGUAUUGUAUGUACUAUCAGAAAAAGGACUGGCUAAUUCCGUCCCAGCAGCCGCGGUAAUACGGAAGGUCCGGGCGUUAUCCGGAUUUUUUGGGUUUAAAGGGAGCGUAGGCCGGUUUUUAAGCCAGCUGUGAAAGUCCGCGGCUCAACCGUAGAAUUGCAGUUGAAACUGGAGGCCUUGAGUGCACAAGAGGAGGCCGGAAUGCAUGGUGUAGCGGUGAAAUGCUUAGAUAUAAUGAAGAACUCCGAUCGCGAAGGCAGGUGUCCGGGGUGCAACUGACGCUGAGGCUCGAAAGUGCGGGUAUCGAACAGGAUUAGAUACCCCAGUAGUC